RNAcentral lists this ribosomal RNA (319 nucleotides) under uncultured eukaryote. Its description in RNAcentral is "partial 18S ribosomal RNA". It matches the Rfam family "Eukaryotic small subunit ribosomal RNA", at positions 1470 to 1796 of the family's 1831-position model. The record is from RNAcentral.
CCCUUAGAUGUUCUGGGCAGCACGCGCGCUACAAUGGUCUUCGCAAACGGAUGCAUUCUCGAAGGAGAAUGCCAAUCUUGGAAUCUAUGCCUUGGUCGGGGCAGUUGCUUGCAAUUUUUCGACUCGAACCAGGAAUUCCUUGUAAUCGUGAUUCAUCACAUCACGAUGAAUGCGUCCCUGCCCUUUGUACACACCGCCCGUCGCUCCUACCGAUCGAAGAGUUAGGUGAAUUGUUUUGAUCGAUAAGAUUUGACUAUGGUCAACUCUCGUUGUGAAAUUCUGUGAAUCUGACUGUUUAGAGGAAGGAAAAGUCGUAACA